GAUGAAGAACGCAGCGAAAUGCGAUAAGUAAUGUGAAUUGCAGAAUUCAGUGAAUCAUCGAAUCUUUGAACGCACCUUGCGCUCCUUGGUAUUCCGAGGAGCAUGCCUGUUUGAGUGUCAUUAAAUUCUCAAUCAUUAUCAACUUUUGCUGAUAAUGGCUUGGAUGUGGGGGUCUAUUUUGCUGGCUUCUCAGAUAGUCAGCUCCCCUUAAAUGCAUUAGCCGGUGCCCCGCGUGGACUGUCUAUUGGUGUGAUAAUUAUCUACGCUAUAGACAUCUGCAAUCAUAUGGGUUUGCGCUGCUUCUAACAGUCUGUUGAUUCAGACAAUACAUGACAAUUUGACCUCAAAUCAGGUAGGACUACCCGCUGAACUUAAGCAUAUCAAUAAGCGGAGGA
RNAcentral lists this unclassified non-coding RNA (395 nucleotides) under soil metagenome. RNAcentral describes it as "partial contains 5.8S ribosomal RNA, internal transcribed spacer 2, and large subunit ribosomal RNA". The stretch from base 1 to 120 matches the Rfam family "5.8S ribosomal RNA", at positions 35 to 154 of the family's 154-position model. The record is from RNAcentral.